This 637-nucleotide long non-coding RNA is filed under the name Cricetulus griseus (Chinese hamster). Its description in RNAcentral is "lncRNA (ENSCGRG00015041550.1)". The record is from RNAcentral. Lineage: Eukaryota; Metazoa; Chordata; Mammalia; Rodentia; Cricetidae.
GUUCUGCCAGGAUGUAAGGCAUCCUAGCCACACGUACUUGCCACCACAAAGCUGCCUGCCCUGCGCCUUUCCCCACCAUGAUGAACUGUAUCCUCAAGCACAUGGCACACAGACUGAUACCCAAGAAGAGCCAACCUUCUGUGAGGAAACCUAGAAAACCCUAGCCAGGGGAAGGAUGGAGAGUUGAAUUGUCAAAUUCCUACUCACAGCCACAGCCUCAGCCCCCACAGCUGCUCCUCUAACCCCUCUAUGAAGCUGACAUAGGUUUCUAUCAUACAAUCAGGGUCUUCCCUAAGAAUGUGUGUCCGGCAAGGACAGGCUCCUGUGCAUGAGGCCCAGGCAGAGCCCAGACGGAGGGAAAAACAGCCACACAAAUCAUUAAUGUGAUAAUUGCCCUCAUAGUAACUCGGAACUGUCCUGUGAAAAACCACUUCAAAAUGCAAGCUAGGAAGAGAUGAGCCCUCUUGGAGGACAGUCAACCUUCUCUCCUUGUCUCAGUGCUGGGGAUUGAACUCAGGACCUGUGCAUAUGAAGCAAGUGCUCUAUCACUGAGCCACAUCCCAGUGGUCCCUGGGAGAUGCACCUGAGAGAUACCUGUGCUCUGUAACCACACUGUCAUUUGUCUUCCUCCCUGCAG